This 484-nucleotide ribosomal RNA is filed under the name uncultured bacterium. RNAcentral's name for it is "partial 16S ribosomal RNA". It matches the Rfam family "Bacterial small subunit ribosomal RNA", at positions 30 to 507 of the family's 1533-position model. The record is from RNAcentral.
AUUGAACGCUGGCGGCAGGCCUAACACAUGCAAGUCGAGCGGAUGAAGGGAGCUUGCUCCUGGAUUCAGCGUCGGACGGGUGAGUAAUGCCUAGGAAUCUGCCUGGUAUUGGUGGAUGAUGUCCGGAGACGGGCGCUAAUACCACAUACGUCGUGAGGGAGAAAGUGGGGGAGCUUCGGACCGCACGCUAGCAGAUGAGCCUAGGUGGGAUUAGCUAGUUGGUUGGGUAAAGGCCUGCCAAGGCGACGAUUCGUAACUGGUCUGAGAGGAUGAUCAGUCACCUGGGAGCUGAGCCACGCUCCAGACUCCUACGGGAGGCACCAGUGGGGAAUAUUGGACAAUGGGCGAAAGCAUGAUACAGCCAUGCCGAGUGUGUGGAGACGGUCUUCGGAUUGUAAAGCACUUUAAGUUGGGAGGAAGGGCAGUAAGUUAAUACCUUGCUGUUUUGACGUUACCAACAGAAUAAGCACCGGCUAACUUCGUG